AACGAACGCUGGCGGCGUGGAUUAGGCAUGCAAGUCGAACGCGAAAGGGGAGCAAUCCCCGAGUAGAGUGGCGAACGGGUGAGUAACACGUGAGAAACCUGCCUUCAGCAGGGGGAUAACACUCCCAACGGGGUGCUAAUACCGCAUGAGACCACGGGGUCACCUGGCCCUGAGGUCAAAGGUGGCCUCUGCUUGCAAGCUACCGGCUGAAGAUGGUCUCGCGUCCCAUUAGCUAGUUGGUGGGGUAAUGGCCUACCAAGGCGACGAUGGGUAGCUGGUCUGAGAGGAUGGUCAGCCACACUGGGACUGAGAUACGGCCCAGACUCCUACGGGAGGCAG
RNAcentral lists this ribosomal RNA (339 nucleotides) under uncultured Latescibacterota bacterium. Its description in RNAcentral is "bacterial SSU rRNA". It matches the Rfam family "Bacterial small subunit ribosomal RNA", at positions 29 to 351 of the family's 1533-position model. The record is from RNAcentral. Lineage: Bacteria; Pseudomonadati; Candidatus Latescibacterota.